Pangasianodon hypophthalmus (striped catfish) is the source of this 1519-nucleotide long non-coding RNA. RefSeq lists it as uncharacterized. The record is from RefSeq and is a predicted model, not a curated record. The transcript has 5 exons. Lineage: Eukaryota; Metazoa; Chordata; Actinopteri; Siluriformes; Pangasiidae.
UUCAAAAUGGCCGCCAUUGGGACGAGCACAUUUUAUGGAAGAAAGAAAGUGGGCCGCACUAUGUUCAAGUUCAAGUCUCAUGGGCCGCACAUCAUGUACAUAUGACGUCACCAAUGCAAGCUAACCAGAUAUUAAGAUACUGACAAGUACAUCAGUGAAUCCUUGCCACCUGGGAAUGCUGUCGAGCGGCACAGAGAGAAGAUGUGGCUUUUCAGUGUUCCUUGCCAGGCAUUAGUCACAGUGGAGGAAGUAUAACAAGAGGAUCUGGCGAGAGAGGUGUGAAAAUUGGAGGAGACGAUCAGGCUACUUACACCUGAAGCAAGACAAGGAGUGAACAGUGAACAGCAUAUUCUGGGCCACCUCAUUCAAAGUGCACACUUACCUAUGUAUAUUUUUGCAUACAUCUCCUCCCCAAGAUGUGUAACACAUUUCCCAAAAAGAGUUUAUGCCCAAGACCCAUCCUUUCUUCAGUGGAUAAUCUCAUCUGGAUACUGGAGACUUGUACCUAAGAACUGCUGCUGAAAUCAUGAAGACCAUGGGUUUCUCAAGGUUUCUUUCUCAUGUUGCCUCAUGUUGGUGUAAGCACAACGAAAGGGUAGAUAUUACAAAGCUCUGUAUUGGAAUUUUGGGGGGUUUCUGCCAACCCCAAUUUCUCUGACACAAAUAUGCACUGUGUUCGUGGGCAGGAGUGUCCACUUCAGAUUCGAUGACAGUAUACACUGGGUAUACUGUAUUUGUCCCACAUUAGAGUAUGCCUGCCAACAUGGCAUGGAAAUCUGACACAAGCUCUGUCAAAACAGAUUGCACAUGUUCAGAAACAAGCCUGCUGAAUCAUCACUGGCAGUGCAUUCUCUGCUCAUCAAGAUGCACUGAAAACCCACUCACUGGCCACUAUCCUAGAGGGAACGAGCUGCGCAGGGACUAUCAGCCUUCUCAAUUUCCCUUUCAGGGAAAGGCUGCCACCCCUUCAAGGCCCAGACAUCAUUCUAGCCAACCAGAAAGUGCAAACAAUUACAGAAAAGAGAUUCCGAAAAAUCACCUAUCCCAUCCAUAAUAAGAAUUUUAAAUGCAGUUAUACACUAUUUUUCUUUUAUCUCUUUUUUUUUUACUGCAUAUACUUUUUAAGAUUUAUCUUAUACUUAUUUUUAUGCUUUUAUUUUUAUCUCUUUUUGAUUAUUUUGAAUUCUUAAAUGGGUGGUAAAUGCUCACAUAAUUCAGUUUUGCUAAACUGCAAUGUGAAUGUGGAAUAAAGUCAAAGUCCGGCAUUAUUUGCAAAUAAAAAACACAAGUUCCACAAAAGUUAAAGUAAAUCCACAAAUAAAUAGUAAGUUAUUCACAAAUGUCUCAUGAGCUUCAUAUCCAAUGAUCCGCAUGAAAGUUAAAGCUGCCCACUUUGUUUGGUCCCACAAGAUCCCAGUUGCAACACUAGCACACCUCCAUCAGGAUUCAAACUUACAAUAUCUUAAAGACAGGGCAAAUGAUUUUAUUCACACCACUCUGGAGCCUUUGUUUUUUAUUA